UGACGAGCGGCGGACGGGUGAGUAAUGCUUGGGAAUAUGCCUUUACGUGGGGGACAACAGUUGGAAACGACUGCUAAUACCGCAUAAUGUCUUCGGACCAAAGGAGGGGACUCUUCGGAGCCUUUCGCGUAAAGAUUAGCCCAAGUGGGAUUAGCUAGUUGGUGGGGUAAUGGCUCACCAAGGCGACGAUCCCUAGCUGGUUUGAGAGGAUGAUCAGCCACACUGGGACUGAGACACGGCCCAGACUCCUACGGGAGGCAGCAGUGGGGAAUAUUGCACAAUGGGCGAAAGCCUGAUGCAGCCAUGCCGCGUGUGUGAAGAAGGCCUUCGGGUUGUAAAGCACUUUCAGUCGUGAGGAAGGGGUAGUAAUUAAUACUUACUAUCUUUGACGUUAGCGACAGAAGAAGGACCGGCUAACUCCGUGCCAGCAGCCGCGGUAAUACGGAGGGUCCGAGCGUUAAUCGGAAUUACUGGGCGUAAAGCGUACGCAGGCGGCUUUCU
Molecule: ribosomal RNA, 501 nt
Filed under: Agarivorans albus
Lineage: Bacteria; Pseudomonadati; Pseudomonadota; Gammaproteobacteria; Alteromonadales; Alteromonadaceae
Description: bacterial SSU rRNA
Rfam family: Bacterial small subunit ribosomal RNA
Source: RNAcentral